GACGAACGCUGGCGGCGUGCUUAACACAUGCAAGUCGAACGGAAAGGCCCUGCUUUUGUUGCUUGCUCGAGUGGCGAACGGGUGAGUAACACGUGAGUAACCUUCCCUUGACUUUUGGAUAACUUCAACAAACUGUGGCUAAUACCGGGUAUCAGCUCCUGCUGCAUGGUGGUGGUUGGAAAGUUUCGGCUGUUGGGGAUGGACUCGCGGCUUAUCAGCUUGUUGGUGGGUGAGUGGCUUACAAAGGCUUUGACGGGUAGCCGGCCUGAGGGGGUGCCCGGCCAAAUUGGGACUGAGAUACGGCCAAGAUCCCUCCGGAGGGAGGAAGUGGGGAAUAUGGCACAAUGGCGGGAGGCCUGAUGAAGAAAGGCGGGGUGCGGAAUAACGGCCUUGGGGUUGUAAACGGCUUCAGCAGGUGACGAAGCGGGAGUGACGGUAAUGGGUAAAGAAGCACCGGCUAACUACGUG
RNAcentral lists this ribosomal RNA (468 nucleotides) under uncultured bacterium. Its description in RNAcentral is "partial 16S ribosomal RNA". It matches the Rfam family "Bacterial small subunit ribosomal RNA", at positions 28 to 507 of the family's 1533-position model. The record is from RNAcentral.